This 2921-nucleotide ribosomal RNA is filed under the name Staphylococcus argenteus. RNAcentral describes it as "bacterial LSU rRNA". It matches the Rfam family "Bacterial large subunit ribosomal RNA". Lineage: Bacteria; Bacillati; Bacillota; Bacilli; Caryophanales; Staphylococcaceae. The record is from RNAcentral.
UUAAGUUAUUAAGGGCGCACGGUGGAUGCCUUGGCACUAGAAGCCGAUGAAGGACGUUACUAACGACGAUAUGCUUUGGGGAGCUGUAAGUAAGCUUUGAUCCAGAGAUUUCCGAAUGGGGAAACCCAACAUGAGUUAUGUCAUGUUAUCGAUAUGUGAAUACAUAGCAUAUCAGAAGGCACACCCGGAGAACUGAAACAUCUUAGUACCCGGAGGAAGAGAAAGAAAAUUCGAUUCCCUUAGUAGCGGCGAGCGAAACGGGAAGAGCCCAAACCAACAAGCUUGCUUGUUGGGGUUGUAGGACACUCUAUACGGAGUUACAAAGGACGACAUUAGACGAAUCAUCUGGAAAGAUGAAUCAAAGAAGGUAAUAAUCCUGUAGUCGAAAAUGUUGUCUCUCUUGAGUGGAUCCUGAGUACGACGGAGCACGUGAAAUUCCGUCGGAAUCUGGGAGGACCAUCUCCUAAGGCUAAAUACUCUCUAGUGACCGAUAGUGAACCAGUACCGUGAGGGAAAGGUGAAAAGCACCCCGGAAGGGGAGUGAAAUAGAACCUGAAACCGUGUGCUUACAAGUAGUCAGAGCCCGUUAAUGGGUGAUGGCGUGCCUUUUGUAGAAUGAACCGGCGAGUUACGAUUUGAUGCAAGGUUAAGCAGUAAAUGUGGAGCCGUAGCGAAAGCGAGUCUGAAUAGGGCGUUUAGUAUUUGGUCGUAGACCCGAAACCAGGUGAUCUACCCUUGGUCAGGUUGAAGUUCAGGUAACACUGAAUGGAGGACCGAACCGACUUACGUUGAAAAGUGAGCGGAUGAACUGAGGGUAGCGGAGAAAUUCCAAUCGAACCUGGAGAUAGCUGGUUCUCUCCGAAAUAGCUUUAGGGCUAGCCUCAAGUGAUGAUUAUUGGAGGUAGAGCACUGUUUGGACGAGGGGCCCCUCUCGGGUUACCGAAUUCAGACAAACUCCGAAUGCCAAUUAAUUUAACUUGGGAGUCAGAACAUGGGUGAUAAGGUCCGUGUUCGAAAGGGAAACAGCCCAGACCACCAGCUAAGGUCCCAAAAUAUAUGUUAAGUGGAAAAGGAUGUGGCGUUGCCCAGACAACUAGGAUGUUGGCUUAGAAGCAGCCAUCAUUUAAAGAGUGCGUAAUAGCUCACUAGUCGAGUGACACUGCGCCGAAAAUGUACCGGGGCUAAACAUAUUACCGAAGCUGUGGAUUGUCCUUUGGACAAUGGUAGGAGAGCGUUCUAAGGGCGUUGAAGCAUGAUCGNAAGGACAUGUGGAGCGCUUAGAAGUGAGAAUGCCGGUGUGAGUAGCGAAAGACGGGUGAGAAUCCCGUCCACCGAUUGACUAAGGUUUCCAGAGGAAGGCUCGUCCGCUCUGGGUUAGUCGGGUCCUAAGCUGAGGCCGACAGGCGUAGGCGAUGGAUAACAGGUUGAUAUUCCUGUACCACCUAUAAUCGUUUUAAUCGAUGGGGGGACGCAGUAGGAUAGGCGAAGCGUGCGAUUGGAUUGCACGUCUAAGCAGUAAGGCUGAGUAUUAGGCAAAUCCGGUACUCAUUAAGGCUGAGCUGUGAUGGGGAGAAGACAUUGUGUCUUCGAGUCGUUGAUUUCACACUGCCGAGAAAAGCCUCUAGAUAGAAAAUAGGUGCCCGUACCGCAAACCGACACAGGUAGUCAAGAUGAGAAUUCUAAGGUGAGCGAGCGAACUCUCGUUAAGGAACUCGGCAAAAUGACCCCGUAACUUCGGGAGAAGGGGUGCUCUUUAGGGUUAACGCCCAGAAGAGCCGCAGUGAAUAGGCCCAAGCGACUGUUUAUCAAAAACACAGGUCUCUGCUAAACCGUAAGGUGAUGUAUAGGGGCUGACGCCUGCCCGGUGCUGGAAGGUUAAGAGGAGUGGUUAGCUUCUGCGAAGCUACGAAUCGAAGCCCCAGUAAACGGCGGCCGUAACUAUAACGGUCCUAAGGUAGCGAAAUUCCUUGUCGGGUAAGUUCCGACCCGCACGAAAGGCGUAACGAUUUGGGCACUGUCUCAACGAGAGACUCGGUGAAAUCAUAGUACCUGUGAAGAUGCAGGUUACCCGCGACAGGACGGAAAGACCCCGUGGAGCUUUACUGUAGCCUGAUAUUGAAAUUCGGCACAGCUUGUACAGGAUAGGUAGGAGCCUUUGAAACGUGAGCGCUAGCUUACGUGGAGGCGCUGGUGGGAUACUACCCUAGCUGUGUUGGCUUUCUAACCCGCACCACUUAUCGUGGUGGGAGACAGUGUCAGGCGGGCAGUUUGACUGGGGCGGUCGCCUCCUAAAAGGUAACGGAGGCGCUCAAAGGUUCCCUCAGAAUGGUUGGAAAUCAUUCAUAGAGUGUAAAGGCAUAAGGGAGCUUGACUGCGAGACCUACAAGUCGAGCAGGGUCGAAAGACGGACUUAGUGAUCCGGUGGUUCCGCAUGGAAGGGCCAUCGCUCAACGGAUAAAAGCUACCCCGGGGAUAACAGGCUUAUCUCCCCCAAGAGUUCACAUCGACGGGGAGGUUUGGCACCUCGAUGUCGGCUCAUCGCAUCCUGGGGCUGUAGUCGGUCCCAAGGGUUGGGCUGUUCGCCCAUUAAAGCGGUACGCGAGCUGGGUUCAGAACGUCGUGAGACAGUUCGGUCCCUAUCCGUCGUGGGCGUAGGAAAUUUGAGAGGAGCUGUCCUUAGUACGAGAGGACCGGGAUGGACAUACCUCUGGUGUACCAGUUGUCGUGCCAACGGCAUAGCUGGGUAGCUAUGUGUGGACGGGAUAAGUGCUGAAAGCAUCUAAGCAUGAAGCCCCCCUCAAGAUGAGAUUUCCCAACUUCGGUUAUAAGAUCCCUCAAAGAUGAUGAGGUUAAUAGGUUCGAGGUGGAAGCAUGGUGACAUGUGGAGCUGACGAAUACUAAUCGAUCGAAGACUUAAUCAA